Momordica charantia (bitter melon) is the source of this 770-nucleotide long non-coding RNA. RefSeq lists it as uncharacterized. The record is from RefSeq and is a predicted model, not a curated record. Lineage: Eukaryota; Viridiplantae; Streptophyta; Magnoliopsida; Cucurbitales; Cucurbitaceae.
CCACCUACAUCUUCAAUUCUUUAUCUUGUUCAAAACUUCCUUCUCUAUUUUCUUCUUCCCAUUUUGCACUAGCGCGCUGCUCCCCACUUUUCCAUUUUUCAGUUUCUCCAUUCUUAUCUAUUGUUCAGUUUAUGUUCUUUCAUGCGCCACCCACUACAACCCCCUCUUUCCUCUUCUUUCGCGUUCUUUCCUCGUGCAGUAUCAGACAGACAUUGUUGUGGAACUCUCCCCCUUCCCCCUCACUUCUCAUCCUUCUGUGCUGUGUGCAGUGGAACCCCCAUCCCCCUUUCCUUUGUCAUUCCAUCCCUCAGCUCAUUGCUCGGGCUUCUCCUCUACCCCCUUUCCUAAUCCAUUUCCAUUAUCGUCCGAGCGCAUCAAAACCGGCUUGAGGCGUCCAACUUUCAAAUCUAGAUUCAGAAUUGGGAGAAGUUAAUAUGAAGACGUCAGAGUCAUCGUCAAAUGCUACAAUUAUGUCGGCGGCCACUACCACCAGAAAGGAUAAAGUCGUCGUCAAUAUUGAUCAGGUUGAAGCGAUUUCUUCAAGUCCACCGAGAAAGUGAUUCGAGUGACUAUGGAGGAGGAAAAGAACAUUAAAGACCUUGGAGAUUUUGCAAAAGUUGUGGAUUUAAUAUUUGUGUAGAAGUUGUUGAUUUAUUUUCUAUAUUUAGACUUAUGUAUUAACUAUGAUUUUUUUUUUCUAUGUUUGGACUUAUGUACUUUGAAUUUGGGUUAGAACUUAGAAAUACUAUGUAUUUUCAAUUUGGAUCUAA